GUGCUGGUUUUGACAGCACAUUUACUUAAAUUGGGAAGAUGAGAUCUGCAUGGCCACUGUACAAGAUGGCCUGCAAGUUUCUGAUAUAUCCCACAUUUUU
RNAcentral lists this small nuclear RNA (100 nucleotides) under Nannospalax galili (Upper Galilee mountains blind mole rat). The record is from RNAcentral. Lineage: Eukaryota; Metazoa; Chordata; Mammalia; Rodentia; Spalacidae.